RNAcentral lists this ribosomal RNA (119 nucleotides) under Melitaea cinxia (Glanville fritillary). The record is from RNAcentral. Lineage: Eukaryota; Metazoa; Arthropoda; Insecta; Lepidoptera; Nymphalidae.
UUAAACGACCAUACUACGUUAAAUACACCGGUUCUCGUCCGAUCACCAAAGUUAAGCAACGUCGGCCGCGGUCAGUACUUGGAUGGAUGACCACCUGGGAAUACCGCGUGACGUUGACU